GGAGCGAAAGUCAAUAUUGAGCUACCAAGCUACUGGCUUAAUCAGGUUAGGGGCUGCAAUUCAGGAAGCAAUCGCUCAGACAAUCUUAUAAUGAGCAGGGUCUGGUUCCUGUUUCGGAGAAGGAACAGGGGAAAAGAAAAACACCUCUAUCUUCCCUCAUCUCUGAUCAGGCUCUUAGCAAAACUGCCAGCAGAGGCGGGAAUGGAACUAGCUAAUUAUUAGGCCAGACACAAAGCAUUGGCUGAGAUGAACAGUUUACAGUCUGGAGACUUUGGGGAGCCCAAAUCACACUGCACCUCCCCAGACACUGCAGCAGCGGGGAGGCCCAGGAAGAAUCCAGUUCCCUUUGCUGUGGGGCAAGGCCCUCGAUUUCUCCAGCAGCGGGAGAAGAGUGGGUCAGGUACCCAUGAAGGGCUAACUCGCCUGAACAAGAGCGAGGGUAUCAUCCAUUACUCUGGCAAUGCAGCUCCUCAUUCACCAGAGGAAAUAGCCCUGCAGAGCCAGGUGUCCAGAUCCAUUCCCAUGGGGGCCCCAGAGACAGCCAGACCAUCACUGCCUAACACAAAGAACUAAGGGAGCAUGGCAUGAGUGACUAGCUCCCCAUGGAGGCUCUGGUUCCACCCAGCUGGGAUCUGCUGCUGGCAGAACCGCGGUGCUGAAAGGAUCAAGCCAAAUGUGGUUUUAGACCCAGGAGGGCAGCAGCAGGAUCUGAUUAAGGCAGGCACAUAACCACACGUGAAAUCAACCACUGAGAUCCCUGCGUGGCUCGGGGGUGGGGGGCAGUGAGAAAGAGAGAGGGAGCAGCAGGAGAGCUGGGGCUGCUUUUACAGCUAAGUAAACCCAAGGUAGGGCUCCAUCCCAGCCCCUCUCCGGCCUGCAGGUUUCCCCUGGCCCCGAGCAAUGGCUUGUGCAGACUUUGGAUACCACCGCCUGGAAGAUACAACACGCCUGGGCUGCCCCAAGCUGGGAAAGGGGGCAGUGAAGGAGGAGACAGGCUGGGCUGAGCAGCGCUUGCUGGAGAGGCCUUCAUCCCAAGCAGAGAACCACGGAGAGGAAAGGAUAAGCCGCGGCAGGGCUUGACAAACCUAUUCUCCCAGCGACCUGUCCCAGAGGGCUGUCAAUCACCUUCUGGAGGAGGUCGGUUGACUUGCAUUUAACGAGUCCCAGUGCUGCAGCCCUUCAGAGCUUUCCAAGGGAAACCCCCAACCUGCCCUUGUCUGGCGACCGCCUGUUCCCAGCCCAGCUCGUGCUGCUCCACUUGGGAGAGCAGCCCAGGUAUCGCACGGCAUCUGGCAAUCCUCUCCUCCAGCACUAAGGCAGGCCGGGAGAGCGACCCAGGUUUUCCCAGGAUGCACCAGUGCGGACAUGGCUGUCCUUCGGAGGCACGGAUGAGCCGACACAGCAGCACUGGGGAAAAUCGCCGCCGUGGGGGCAGGGACCACGGCACAGGAAAACGGCUGUGAUGUGGCACAGCGGGUGGCGUGAAGGGGGCCCGGAUCUGAGGGGCACCGGGCGGGUGCGUGUUUGGGCUGCAAUCCCUCCAGCCUGGCUGGGCGUGGUAGGGGAGGCCUGGCUUUCCCCAUGAAUCCCAGGCCUCUUGAAGCGGGAGGGGAAGGGCGUUGGCUGCCGCCUGCAGAUGAGUCAGACAUGGGCCACCCCGGCAUUGCCACGCCCUCGUGCUGGAGGUGAUCUCACCCUUUAAAUCCAAAGCCCCCGCAGACUACCAAUCCAAAGCCCAAUCACAGGCUGCCAGAGAAUGCCCUGGCGUGCGACUGGCCUGUUGGAAAACCGCUGGCUGCUGGGGGCAGAGGCAGGCAGGCAAGCCUGGCUGUUAGGGACACGUGCGGCUGGCCCCACCCCAGAGCCAGCUCUGCACAGCACAGGAGCAACGGCCCAGCAGCCAGCUCCUGCCGGAGACCAGCACAGGACAGGGCUCUGGCUGGUGUCCUGUGCCCAUCUGCCUUGUGCCGCGCUAUAAUCUAUAGGCUGUUUCUGCAAUGCUCUCAAUCUCGCUCCAUUCUUCCAGCACAGAUGCAGCCCCUGCCACUUGGCUAGCACCCACUGGGCCCUGGCAUCUUCACCAUCACGCCACCCAGCCCUGCUCUGAGCCAAGCGAGGGAGGAACCAGAAGCCCCUGCCCCGUCUGGACGAGGGCACUGCCAGGAGAGUGAGAAGAGCUAGGCAACAGCAAAGCUGCCCAGGGAUGCAUGACUGCUGUGCCUCCACUGCCCAGCUUGGAGGCCGGAGCAGGCUAGUUAAUCAUAACCCAGCCCCUGCUGCACUCUGGUCUAUUGCUUUGUCACCUUUCACCUCCAUGCACCGGCCCAGCCCUCCUCGUUAAAGCAGGCACACAAUAGGUGCCUUCUUACACAAGGGCAGCGUUAGGAGCGCCAGCUGCUGUCUGAGACUGGGGAUCAGCUCUCACAGCCGGCCCGACAAGGAAGGAGACACGUGCCCAUCUCCCACCACCAGUCACGCUGGGAGAGCCCGACCCUGGCACAUGCCACUAGGGUGACCAGACAGCAAGUGUGAAAAAUCGGGACAGGGAGUGGGGUUAAUAGGACCCUAUAUAAGAAAAAGACCCAAAAAUCGGGACUGUCCCUAUAAAGUCCAGCCAUCUGGUCACCCGACGUGCCACCCCGUGCCCAGGGGUGGGUGUGAACUCGGGGCCAGAUGUUGCCGGAAGCCCAGCGAUAAGCCACACCCUCUAUGGCAGGGUGCAGGGAUUGGACCACGGAAACUGGCAACACUAGAGCGAGUGCCCCAGGCCAGUCAGGACAGGGAGACCUCACUCCCUCGGCCUUGUACACGCAGGGCUGUGGCAGGGGCUCCAGGAAGGGGGCUCGGUCUCAAAUCCAAGGAGUAGAGGGGUUCUUCUGUCACUGUAGUUCAUUCACCUUCCCGAGACGUGGUAGCUAGAAUUCUUCCCUGGACCUAGUACUGUCUACACUGGGAGUAAUGUCGGAGCAACUUUGUUGAUUGGGGGUGUGGCUUUGUCAUACCCUUUAUUGAUGUAACUGGGGCGACUUAACUUUUUAGUGUAGACCUGGUGUUACACUCUCCCUGCCUGCACCAGGUGGAUUCAGCAGAUAAGGGACUGGAAUGCCUUCAGGAGAGCGUGUGGCCUACCGGUUAGAGCAGAGGACUUUGAUCAGACUCCUGGGUCCAGUCCCCCACCUCUGGGAGGGGAGUGUGAUCUAAUGAUCCGAGCAAGGGGCUUGGGGACGAAUGGGGGAGUCAGAACUUAUGGGUCCCUUUCCAGACAGAAUCUGAGCACUUUGGCAAGUCACUGAGCCUUAUUCUACCUCAGUUUCCCCAUUGCUAAAAUGGGUUCAAUAAUGUACCUCCUACUGCACAAAGCUGUCGGGAGGCUCGGCGAACAGUUGCCAAGCCACCACCCAAGACCUUUGCGGAAAGGAGUCAGCAAGCGGCACUAAUGUAGCACUCUGCCUCUGGCCUGAGCCAACGCGGCACCUUUCUCCGGUGUUCAUUUCACCAGCACGAACUAGAGACUCCAGCCCUGGAAGGAAGCAAGAUCUGCACCUACAGCAAGGGGAGGGCAUCUCCGCUGAGCGAGUCAACAUCCCCAACACCAGAUCAUCACCACGCCUGCGUUUACUGACACAGAGCCAAGUGCUAUGAGUAGCACCACAGCUUCCCUUCUCCUGACACGCCCUGUCGGGUGGAUCCAGCCACACCAAUGGCUCGGUUGGCCUGGGGAACGAGACAUUCAAUGCAGAGCUCAUGAGUGAGAGACGCUGGCUGCUGAUACCCACCAGCCUUUAGACACUUGGUUUGCUCUCGUCAUCUCUCUCGUGCUGUAGAUGCUAUCACACCAGCCCUUCGAGUGGAACAGUGGCUGCUCGCCCCAGAUAACGCUCACGCUGGAGGUCGGGGAGCCUGGUGGGGGAAGAUACCAAGGAAACAUUUCCGCCUCGGCGCUAGAUGCAAGACUGAGUGCGCGCGUGGACUGGGCAGUGUAUUAAAGUGCUUUGAGAAUCUCGGAGGAGUCACGCUACAGAGGCACGAAACGCUGUUUCUACUGGAACGCCUCCCCAGAGCUGAGUUGUUUUGAUUCAUUUAACUUGUGCCUCACUCUGAAUAACUUCACAGACCGGAGGAAGCAAUCAGAGCAGAAUGCAAUGAACCCUGCUCAUUACAAGAGGGAAAGUCCCUAAGAAGGAUUUUUCAGAUCAGAAAACUUCUUGAAACCCAACACAACUCCUCCACACUCACCCACCCCAACAUUCACAGUCAAGCUCUUCCCAGAAGUCGUGCUCACGGUAACCGGUACAGUAACCCCAAGUAGUAAAUGAAUAAUGCAAUAUUGACAGCCGGGGAAAUAAACUCUGUUCUUCACUCUCGCUGCUGAUUCACGGGUCUCUAUUUGAGAUAUCACAACACUUUGGUCUCUCUUGGUAACGACCGUCACUGUCUGUUCUCCAAGCACAGAGCAAGGUAGGAGCGGAGCUUUCAAGAUAAAUGGCCUGAGUCACCAAUUGUCACUUUUAAUAAUUAGGCUCAGAACAGGAGUGGUCAUUUGGGAAUCCCCUUGAGGAAGGGACUUUUUUCCCCAAGGGGUCUGUUGUGUCAGAGAAAGGUAGCAGCAACAUCCAGUUUUCGAGAAUGCACAUUCCAUUCCAGUAAGCAACAGAUCGUAUAGAUUAUAUACAGGGAUCUCUGCACUGCAGCCACCUCUGGAGUGGAGUAGGGCAGCUAUAUAACAACCACACAGCAGCAGGAGUCGGCUGCAGGCUGGGCGUUAUUGUAAUGGAUGGCUUAAGAAAAAGAUAGAGGAGAUUGUUUUAAAGUUUAAGGCUGCAAAAUCUUUAGAAAACACAGCUCCUGUUGUAGUAGCAAAAUCUCUUUCUCCUCAUCCCCUCCAAAAUCCUCCCCCAUUCUGGCAUGCCCACGGCCAGGGGAGAACAGACACAGACAUUCAGCACACGGAAACCUGCAUUCAAAAUCCCUCUCCAAAUAGUAACAAGACUCUCGGAUCUAAAUGCAGAACCAGCUACAGUUCUAUGCAGAGAUGACCAUGGAGUUAUCUAGAGACAGAUCUGUGGUUGAGGAGAGACACAUGAAGCUAAAUAUAAAAUCCUGGGCAGCUUUUAAAGAUGUCUGUAAAAUGUUCCUCCUGCUUUCUACAUGAACUGAUUAUUCAUGGUGGAAUGUCCCUUUCGGGGGCCUUUUAGAAAACAAACUCCUUUAUAGCAAAGCCAGGGAGGUAAGACGCUGAGGAUCUAACGCAGGAAUGGGAGACGCGCUCUGUUUGCCACCACGCAACCUUGGGUUCAAAUACCGCUCAUGCUCCCUGGAACUGACUGUGGGUGGGAGCACGAUGGAGGCAGCAGAUUUCGCCUUAGGGAGUGUCCCUUGCUGCUCAGCAAGGAUCGAGUCUCAACAGAGACCAGAAUACGCCAGAGCUGUGGACCCUAAAGGGUCAUGUUCUGACCCGAAGUCCAUGGGAGUCCAGGACUUUUGAAGCAGGACCACUGGGUGAAGCUGCAGGGCUCUGAAGCUUUCUGGAUACAGGUGCCACUCCCACCCUCUUUUGGAUCCCUCUGACCUUCACCACUGCCUGCUGGAGACAAGUGCCUCUGCCAUGUGGGCCAAGGAGACACAGAACUGGAAACCCAAGUCCCCAGGGAACCCUUGCUGGUUGGGGGCCAAGGUCCAAAGCAUGGGAGGGAACCAGCUCGUCAGAAUGGGCAGAAUGCCACCAUGUGCUACCGAGCUCCCUGGUGCCAACUCUAGCAUAGCAGGGAGGCGCAUGCGUGGGGAAAGGGGAGUUUAGGCAAAUUUGGCAGCAGCAGGGGAAAGGAAAAUACCAUACAGGGAGGGGAGGGGCAGAGUUUGAAGCUACUGGACAGACAGAAUCAGGGAGGCCCCAGCACACCCCAGAGCACCGCAAUGAGAAGGCACUUUCACCAGGAUCUCGCCGCACCAGCUGACAGCUGCCGAGACAAUCCCGCUCCAAGGACGGCGCCGGCUCCUGAACACCCAGUGCUGAAUUUACACACAGACCACGCAGCAAUUUAUUGUGAGGUGGUGGGGGAAGGCAAGAAUCAUCCCACCUCACCACGACACACCAGCUUCCUCUGUAACAUUCCAGCAGCGUAGAGAUUUUUCCCAUCUUCCUACUCUGGAUUGUUUUUUUUCCCCUCCACGUCCCUCACUAUUUGCCAAACACAUUACAACAGGCUAUUCGCUUGGCCCGCGGCCUCGGGAUAUUUGUGGCUUCUUUCCCAAGGCUGCCAGCCCUGGUUGCUCCCACUCAGGCUUUUAGGGACUGCUCCAUUCUUGGAAAAAGGGGGAAAUGGGAAAUUCUUCCACUACCAGCUGCCCCAGUGCCUAGCAUGGGCACUACCCUGGUGCUUACCG
This is a long non-coding RNA of Gopherus flavomarginatus (Mexican gopher tortoise), 6384 nucleotides long. RefSeq lists it as uncharacterized. Lineage: Eukaryota; Metazoa; Chordata; Testudines; Testudinidae. The transcript has 3 exons. The record is from RefSeq and is a predicted model, not a curated record.